UACGGAGGGUGCAAGCGUUGCUCGGAAUUAUUGGGCGUAAAGGGUAGGUAGGUGGUCUCAUUUGUCAGGGGUGAAAUCCUUGGGCUUAACUCAAGAAGUGCCUUUGAAACGGUGAGACUGGAGUCCUGGAGAGGGUCGUGGAAUUCCCGGUGUAGCGGUGAAAUGCGUAGAGAUCGGGAGGAACACCAGAGGCGAAGGCGGCGACCUGGACAGGCACUGACACUCAACUACGAAAGCGUGGGGAG
RNAcentral lists this ribosomal RNA (245 nucleotides) under uncultured bacterium. Its description in RNAcentral is "partial 16S ribosomal RNA". It matches the Rfam family "Bacterial small subunit ribosomal RNA", at positions 524 to 768 of the family's 1533-position model. The record is from RNAcentral.